Molecule: small RNA, 393 nt
Filed under: Histoplasma capsulatum var. duboisii H88
Lineage: Eukaryota; Fungi; Ascomycota; Eurotiomycetes; Onygenales; Ajellomycetaceae
Description: Histoplasma capsulatum H88 hypothetical RNA
Source: RNAcentral
ACACACAGAGAAGGGCGAUUCGCAGAUAGUUCGUUGCCCCACGGGCCACUGGCUCAUACGUACUAGUACUGUGCAACAUGUAUACAGCCGCAGCUUUUCUUCUCUAACUAUGCCUGUGCUCCCUCAACUCACCUGGAACUACCCGAGCAGGCGGAAGUAGGAUCCCUUCAAGACUACCAACUACCAACUACCAUACCCGCUCCGCACUCUCCGGGCCCCAACAAACCCCCCCCUCCAUCGGGGCCUAGUCAAAACUUCGAAGAACGUCAGCUCGAGUCGCGUCACGCAUGCUCCCGAUCUCAGACAAAAAAAACCCCCUACUCCUCAGCGCGAUGCAUGGCUAAACCAGUAUCACCAACACCGCAGAAACGAAGAACGGUAAACUGAACGAGA